RNAcentral lists this long non-coding RNA (3621 nucleotides) under Gossypium barbadense (sea-island cotton). RNAcentral describes it as "long non-coding RNA (GBAR_LNC012049)". The record is from RNAcentral. Lineage: Eukaryota; Viridiplantae; Streptophyta; Magnoliopsida; Malvales; Malvaceae.
AACAGUAAACUAUAAUUGUCAAAAAAUUAAAAACAAAGUCAUUUUAAAUUGAGUAACAAGACCUCCCACUAAUACACUCCAUUAAUUGUUAAGACAUUAUUAGCUUUUUAAGUCCACUGAAACACGCAACUUACAACAACGUCAAUAACAAUGAACUAGUAAUUAAUAAUUUAUAACAAGGUGAUUUGAACUUGAGAGAAAUAAGACCACCCAAGUAAACAAAAAAUUCUACCUAAAACUUGAGCUUAACCAUUUUUGCUUCAAACAUAAAGCACAAGACAAUUAGUUUUAGUAAUAAAUGUUAUAUACCGGCUGGACGCAGAGGAAAGUGAGUAACAUAAUGCCCUUAACUGCAAGAAAACAAUAACAAUACAACACAAAUAGGUAAAUUUGUUCAUCCAUUUGAACCUUCAAGUACAUGGAUCUACCUACAAUGUGAUUGUAUUAUCAUUAAAAAAAAAAGCUGUUAAAAUUGAAAUAAACACAAGAACAAAUUCGGUACAUGUAUGCAUGUAUGCAUGUAUGCAACUGCAUGUGUCUAUGUACACAUGCAUGAUGAAGCAACUAAACUCUGUUCCUUUUUCUACUCAGUUAUUCAACUUCUAAAUGGCAUAAGAGAACCAGCAAAGCUUAUUCCCAUCAAACGAAAGCAAAAGAGAUCGAUACCCUAUAAUUUUUCAAGUCAUUUUUGUGUUUGGUCAUUUUUCCCCUAACUGAUAUGCAGAGCCGAUCGCUUUUUAAUUAUUGCUACCCUGCAAGCACGAUAAGGACUUUGCAAACUUCAUUGGCCAAUACUAGCCUCUUGAACAUCAUCAAGAAGCAAUAAAAAUUGAAAGGAAAGGGUAGAUAAAAUUAAGUACACAAGUAACAGUGAAUAAAAGACUCUUUAACUCAAAUAGCAGAUAAAAACAAAAGCUAUUUUGCAUAACUUGUGAUUAGAGUACCAAUAUUCCCUUAGUGUAAUGAUUUAAGACUUAUUGUUAAAGAGUUAUAGAUUUUCAAUGAGAUUAAUCACCACUGCUUUUAUAUAAUAAGUGGAAUAUUAUUGUAAAGAAUAGGCACUAAACAACUUUCCCUGGAAGAAGAGAAGAAUUAAAGACACUAAAUUGUAGACUAUGAUAGUAAAGAUACUCUUUGUGACACCAAUGAUGAAAACUGGAGAAAAUUAUCCCAAAAAUGCAAAAAUGAAAGCUAAAAAUAACCAAAUAUCUUAAGAAGUUUUUGGAGAGCUAUAUAGUUCGGUUAUUAUUUUCUUUCUACAUAGGUCCUCUCCUUCCUCCUUGAUCAAUGGCAUGUCAGCAGUUAGAAAAUUCUAAAAAUUAGAUAAACCCAGCUAUGCUCAGCAAACAGAGAGUAUGGGAUGAGAGUUUAAACAUUCUUUUAAUGAAAAUACACUAUAGCAUCCCAUUCAAAGAAAUCCCACACCAAAUACAACAUCUGGCAACAAAUUCAUAAGCUUCAAGAUAAAGAAGAAAAGACAGUUCACCAGAGUGAAUAUAAGUGAUCACACGUAGUAUGUAUGAUUGAAUUAGAUGCAGAGACUAAGCACAAUCGUGCUCGAAAGGAGAAAACCUAAGAAAGUUUUCCAUCAAAACAAAUUAAAAUUCAAACUUCUAGGGCAUUACUCGUAAGCAGGGAUUUAAAUUGCGGUCGCGUUGUGUUUAUCGCGGUCACUGCGGGUAUAAUAUUUGAUUUUUAGUAAUAUCAGACAAUGGUCUUUUAUAGAUUAUAUGCCUCUUAAGUCCACUUAAACUUGUAUCCUCAAAGAACUGAGAUAAUACUCAAUCUGCAGGGUUAAUAUCCAUAAUAUUCAAUCAACAGUAAACUAUAAUUGUCAAAAAAUUAAAAACAAAGUCAUUUUAAAUUGAGUAACAAGACCUCCCACUAAUACACUCCAUUAAUUGUUAAGACAUUAUUAGCUUUUUAAGUCCACUGAAACACGCAACUUACAACAACGUCAAUAACAAUGAACUAGUAAUUAAUAAGUUAUAACAAGGUGAUUUGAACUUGAGAGAAAUAAGACCACCCAAGUAAACAAAAAAUUCUACCUAAAACUUGAGCUUAACCAUUUUUGCUUCAAACAUAAAGCACGAGACAAUUAGUUUUAGUAAUAAAUGUUAUAUACCGGUUUGACGCAGAGGAAAGUAAGUAACAUAAUGCCCUUAGCUGCAAGAAAACAAUAACAAUACAACACAAAUAGGUAAAUUUGUUCAUCCAUUUGAACCUUCAAGUACAUGGAUCUACCUACAAUGUGAUUGUAUUAUCAUUAAAAAAAAAAAGCUGUUAAAAUUGAAAUAAACACAAGACAAAUUCGGUACAUGUAUGAAUGCAUAUGCAAGUGCAUGUGUCUGUGUACACAUGCAUGAUGAAGCAACUAAACUCUGUUCCUUUUUCUACUCAGUUAUUCAACUUCUAAAUGGCAUAAGAACCAGCAAAGCUUAUUACCAUCAAACGAAAGCAAAAGAGAUCGAUACCCUAUAAUUUUUCAAGUCAUUCUUUGUGUUUGGUCAUUUUUCCCCCAACUGAUAUGCAAAGCCGAUCGCUUUACAAACUUCAUUGGCCAAUACUAGCCUCUUGAACAUCAUCAACAAGCAAUAAAAAUUGAAAGGAAAAGGUAGAUAAAAUUACGUACACAAGUAACAGAGAAUAAAAGACUUUUUAACUCAAAUAGCAGAUAAAAACAAAAGCUAUUUUGCAUAACUUGUGAUUAGAGUACCAAUAUUCCCUUAGUGUAAUGAUUUAAGACUUAUUGUUAAAGAGUAAUAGAUUUUCAAUGAGAUUAAUCACCACUGCUUUUAUAUAAUAAGUGGGAUAUUACUGUAAAGAAUAGGCACUAAACAACUUUCCCCGGAAGAAGAGAAGAAUUAAAGACACUCAAUUGUGGACCAUGAUAGUAAAGAUACUUUUAGUGACACCAAUGAUGAAAACUGGAGAAAAUUAUCUCAAAAAUGCAAAAAUGAAAGCUAAAAAUAACCAAAUAUCUUAAAAAGUUUUUGAGAGCUAUAUUGUUCGGUGAUUAUUUUCUUUCUACAUAGGUCCUCUCCUUCCUCCUUGAUCAAUGGCAUGUCAGCAGUUAGAAAAUUCUAAAAAUUAAAUAAACCCAGCUAUGCUCAGCAAACAGAGAGUAUGGGACGAGAGUUUAAACAUUCUUUUAAUGAAAAUACACUAUAGCAUCCCAUUCAAAGAAAUCCCACACCAAAUACAACAUCCGGCAACAAAUUCAUAAACUCCAAGAUAAAGAAGAAAAGACGGUUCACCAGAGUGAAUAUAAUUGAUCACACAUAGUAUGUACCAUUGAAUUAGAUGCAGAGACUAAGCACAAUCGUGCUCGAGAGGUGAAAACCUAAGAAAGUUUUCCAUCAAAACAAAUUAAAACUCAAACUUCUAGGGCAUUACUCGUAAGUUUACUAGAAAAUACCAAAAUCCGAAGUUAAGGUACUUGUGAUGAAGAAGAUGACAACAGGGUUGAUGGUGGAGGUUCUCUCUGAAGUUCCUUGACAACAGCAGCCAAAGCCUCAGGGUUUAAACCCAAAUCACAGAGAGCAAUGAAUCGAGACCUGUAUCAAGAAUAUUUGACAUGUGAAAUGCCAGAUCUAGGGAUUCUCGGGCAGUUCGUGCAGC